CAAAAGUGUAUAUUUAAGUUGUUGCGGUUAAAAAGCUCGUAGUUGGAUUUUGGGCGCAGGCGGCCGGUCCGUCGCAAGGCGUGUACUGGCCGUCCUGGCCUCACCUCCGGUUCUCCGCCGGUGCCCUUGACUGAGUGUCGGCGGCGGCCGGAACGUUUACUUUGAAAAAAUUAGAGUGUUCAAAGCAGGCGAUUCGCCUGAAUAAUGGUGCAUGGAAUAAUGGAAUAGGACCUCGGUUCUAUUUUGUUGGUUUUCGGAGCGCGAGGUAAUGAUUAAGAGGGACAGACGGGGGCAUUCGUACUGUGCCGUUAGAGGUGAAAUUCUUGGAUCGGCGCAAGACGAACGACUGCGAAAGCAUUUGCCAAGAAUGUUUUCUUUAAUCAAGAGCGAAAGUCAGAGGUUCGAAGACGAUCAGAUACCGUCCUAGUUCUGACUAUAAACGAUGCCAACUAGCGAUCGGGGGGCGUUAGUUUUACGACCUCUCCGGCAGCUUGCGGGAAACCAAAGUCUUUGGGUUCCGGGGGAAGUAUGGUUGCAAAGCUGAAACUUAAAGGAAUUGACGGAAGGGCACCACCAGGAGUGGAGCCUGCGGCUUAAUUUGACUCAACACGGGAAAUCUCACCCGGCCCGGACACAGUGAGGAUUGACAGAUUGAGAGCUCUUUCUUGAUUCUGUGGGUGGUGGUGCAUGGCCGUUCUUAGUUGGUGGAGCGAUUUGUCUGGUUAAUUCCGAUAACGAACGAGACUCUGGCUUGCUAACUAGUUACGCGACCCAAUCGGUCGGCGUCUAACUUCUUAGAGGGACUAGUGGCGUUUAGCCACACGAGAUUGAGCAAUAACAGGUCUGUGAUGCCCUUAGAUGUUCGGGGCCGCACGCGCGCUACACUGACCGGAUCAGCAUGUGCUCGCCUUGGCCGACAGGUCUGGGUAACCCGCUGAACCCCGGUCGUGCUAGGGAUAGGGAAUUGCAAUUAUUUCCCUUGAACGAGGAAUUCCCAGUAAGCGCGAGUCAUUAGCUC
This 1018-nucleotide ribosomal RNA is filed under the name Ascidiella aspersa. RNAcentral's name for it is "SSU rRNA". It matches the Rfam family "Eukaryotic small subunit ribosomal RNA", at positions 592 to 1637 of the family's 1831-position model. The record is from RNAcentral. Lineage: Eukaryota; Metazoa; Chordata; Ascidiacea; Phlebobranchia; Ascidiidae.